UCGAGAAUCUUCCGCAAUGGGCGCAAGCCUGACGGAGCGACACCGCGUGCAGGAUGAAGGCCUUCGGGUUGUAAACUGCUGUCACGCCAUAGGAAUGUCAAACGGUAAACAGUCGUUUGAUUGACUAAAGCGAGAGGAAGAGCCGGCUAACUCUGUGCCAGCAGCCGCGGUAAGACAGAGGGCUCAAACGUUGUUCGGAAUCACUGGGCAUAAAGGGCGCGUAGGCGGCCUAACAAGUCGUUUGUGAAAUCCCCCAGCUCAACUGGGGAACUGCAUACGAUACUGUUUGGCUCGAGGACGGGAGGGGUAAGUGGAACUCCAGGUGGAACGGUGAAAUGUGUAGAUAUCUGGAGGAACACCGGUGGCGAAAGCGGCUUACUGGCCCGUAUCUGACGCUGAGGCGCGAAAGCCAGGGGAGCAAACGGGGAUUAGAUACCCAUGUAGUCCCUGAGCGGGCUGGCAAGGCGCAU
Molecule: ribosomal RNA, 470 nt
Filed under: uncultured bacterium
Lineage: Bacteria
Description: bacterial SSU rRNA
Rfam family: Bacterial small subunit ribosomal RNA
Source: RNAcentral